GGAGGGACCAUAGCUCAGUGAUAGAGCAUUUCUUUGGCAUGCAGAAGGUGCUAGGUUCAAUCCCAAGCCUCUCCU
RNAcentral lists this transfer RNA (75 nucleotides) under Sphaerodactylus townsendi. RNAcentral describes it as "tRNA-Ala". Lineage: Eukaryota; Metazoa; Chordata; Lepidosauria; Squamata; Sphaerodactylidae. The record is from RNAcentral.